GAUGAACGCUGGCGGCGUGCCUAACACAUGCAAGUCGGACGGUGGUGACCUUUCGGGGUGACCAUAGUGGCGCACGGGUGAGGAACACGUAGCUGACCUGCCCUGGAGCGCGGGAUAACCCUGGGAAACGAGGGCUAAGACCGCCUACGCUCGGCGACUGUAGAGGUCGUCGAGGAAAACCUUCGGGUGCUCUGGGAGGGGGCGUGCGGCCCAUCAGGUAGUUGGUGGGGUAAGAGCCUACCAAGCCGAC
RNAcentral lists this ribosomal RNA (250 nucleotides) under uncultured bacterium. RNAcentral's name for it is "partial 16S ribosomal RNA". It matches the Rfam family "Bacterial small subunit ribosomal RNA", at positions 28 to 277 of the family's 1533-position model. The record is from RNAcentral.